This 369-nucleotide small RNA is filed under the name Histoplasma capsulatum var. duboisii H88. Its description in RNAcentral is "Histoplasma capsulatum H88 hypothetical RNA". Lineage: Eukaryota; Fungi; Ascomycota; Eurotiomycetes; Onygenales; Ajellomycetaceae. The record is from RNAcentral.
GGGAAAGGUGCAAUAUCAACAAUCAUGGGGAUAAGUGAAUACAUUUCCCGUGCUGCUCGUCAUCCCGCAUAAUUGUGAUAGUCCCGCGUAUGUCUCCGGCUUCGUGCGGCGGCACACCGUUGGAUCCGCGUUGAUGCAAAAAUGAAGACGAGCGUUCCCAGCAUGCAGUGCAUGCAUGCACACAUAUGCAUCAGAAAACUUGGAAUUCUCGCCUGCAUCCUGUCAGAUUUUGUGGAGCAGAAGAAGGAUCAAAAACCGUAUUUGGAAACUACUAGUACCAAAUCGCUGCGGAAUAUUAAAUGCCCUUGGACGUGGCGCAGGCCCACGGAGUUUUUUUUUUUCAGAGCUGAAAAGCGAGGAGGGAGACUU